GACGAACGCUGGCGGCGUGCUUAACACAUGCAAGUCGAACGGAAAGGCCCUGCUUUUGUGGGGUGCUCGAGUGGCGAACGGGUGAGUAACACGUGAGUAACCUGCCCUUGACUUUGGGAUAACUUCAGGAAACUGGGGCUAAUACCGGAUAGGAGCUCCUGCUGCAUGGUGGGGGUUGGAAAGUUUCGGCGGUUGGGGAUGGACUCGCGGCUUAUCAGCUUGUUGGUGGGGUAGUGGCUUACCAAGGCUUUGACGGGUAGCCGGCCUGAGAGGGUGACCGGCCACAUUGGGACUGAGAUACGGCCCAGACUCCUACGGGAGGCAGCAGUGGGGAAUAUUGCACAAUGGGCGGAAGCCUGAUGCAGCAACGCCGCGUGCGGGAUGACGGCCUUCGGGUUGUAAACCGCUUUCGCCUGUGACGAAGCGUGAGUGACGGUAAUAGGUAAAGAAGAACCGACUAACUACGUG
Molecule: ribosomal RNA, 468 nt
Filed under: uncultured bacterium
Lineage: Bacteria
Description: partial 16S ribosomal RNA
Rfam family: Bacterial small subunit ribosomal RNA
Source: RNAcentral